GCCGCCAUGUUUGAGAAGGGCAAAGCAAUUCUGGUUUAGUGGGAGACGUGGCUCAAGGAGAGGCUUUCUGUGUCCAAGGUUUCUGGCUGGCACGAGAGCCGCCGAGUAAAAAGUUAGGGGUAGGGCUUGGAGAUGUUACGCAGCGUUGCGUUUCGACGACUGAUAGAUGCUGCCGCAGUUAAAUACCUCGAAUAAGACGAAUUCACUACUUGGGGGGGAGGGUAUGGCAUGGAUGCCUUUUUAUCACCAUUUCCUACGCCCCCCGGCAUUCCUUUUAUCUCAUGAAACGAGAAAGAUUUUAAUCUUUUAACAGGCUCACUCCUUCACACAAAAAAUAGCAUCUAUAAUGUGUUACUAAAUGUGGUGUUGGGCUCAUCUUUAACUCGGUAGCACAAUUUAUGUCCUAUAUGAUCAAUAAAGGGACUUUGCAGAAGUGGAAUGUGAUUGGAAGGAUCUGCAUACUAAAACUACCACAAUCUGCUUCCCAGAUCUCUGCACUGAACAAGCAACAGCGAGCCACAGCACCAAAUGUAUUCUCUCCUACCAAAGCAGGACAUUUUUUUAAACAUAUAAAAUAUGGGAAAAUUUUCCCCAGCCCUCACAAAUUCCACCCCACCCAUAAACGUAAUAUCAACCCACCCUUUUAAUUCUGUUUGGAUUUGGGGGGAAACAAAUGCAGGUUUAAAUGCAGCUCGCUUUCUCUUCUAGGCUUGUCAUUUAGGGCUUGCUGUUCUGCUUUAAGCAAAACCUGUACCUAUGUAACCCCUAUGGCUUAAUUAGACCUGUUACUUUAAGGAGGUUCAAUGUUUUCAAGCUCUUGUGUGCAGAUGGGUGGGGAGGAACGGUGGCCUUUGGAAGCCAUUUUGACUAAGAGCUGCAAGAAAGGGAUUCAGGACAGGCCUGGCCUAUCGAGUUAUUUCAAGGGGUGAGUCCCCCUUACAUUCUUGUUGUUAUUAUCUAGGGGGUCACUCAAAUCCAUAAGAAGAGAGGAGCAUACUUAAAAUAAAUAUACACCUGGUAUAAUAAACCCACCUUUUCCUGCUGGCUUCUGGUGGCAGAUGGGUUACGCAAACUCGCCAGAAGGAGAUCUUACUACACCAGUUUCAUGUGACAGACAAGAACAAUGAACAGCAGAGAGAACCGGGAACAGUUGGGACUGGAUCUUCCUGGCUCCCUCCAAUAAGAAAAACAGUAACUACAUUAUGACUUCCUCCAGGAAUCCUUCCACGUUCUGAGCUGGAUCCCCUUUGCGUCGUCAUGCUUAUCAGUCUUUGGUAUGGACACUUUGGUGUGCCAGUGAGGAGGGGGAGGAAGAGGAGCAGAGGUGACCAAGUAGGAAAGGAGGAGGAAAGUCUCAGAAGACGGACGUACUCGCUUGCUAUCAUCUGAGCAGGACAAAAAGGAAGAAAAGUAACGGUCCACAGAGGGGAAAUUUGUCUUGGGUGAUGGCACCGUUUUCUGGAAGGACAACUGCUGCAGGGCAAGAAAGAAAGAAGAAGGGUUAGUUAAGAUGACAAGAUAGAUGCACAGACUUGUGCAAAAUAAACCAAUUGCAGCAGACUGGAAAAUACCGGAUGAAAGUGUGAAUUAAUUUUGGGACAGAUUGAGGCAUGUGCUUACAUGGCUACCUGCUGCUCAAGCAACAAUACUAACUGACCAUUCAUGGAGAGAAGUAGGUUGUUAAUAAGCUCACGGGG
Molecule: non-coding RNA, 1697 nt
Organism: Podarcis muralis (Common wall lizard)
Lineage: Eukaryota; Metazoa; Chordata; Lepidosauria; Squamata; Lacertidae
Source: RefSeq, a predicted model, not a curated record